UAACACGUGGGUAACCUGCCCAUAAGACUGGGAUAACUCCGGGAAACCGGGGCUAAUACCGGAUAACAUUUUGAACUGCAUGGUUCGAAAUUGAAAGGCGGCUUCGGCUGUCACUUAUGGAUGGACCCGCGUCGCAUUAGCUAGUUGGUGAGGUAACGGCUCACCAAGGCAACGAUGCGUAGCCGACCUGAGAGGGUGAUCGGCCACACUGGGACUGAGACACGGCCCAGACUCCUACGGGAGGCAGCAGUAGGGAAUCUUCCGCAAUGGACGAAAGUCUGACGGAGCAACGCCGCGUGAGUGAUGAAGGCUUUCGGGUCGUAAAACUCUGUUGUUAGGGAAGAACAAGUGCUAGUUGAAUAAGCUGGCACCUUGACGGUACCUAACCAGAAAGCCACGGCUAACUACGUGCCAGCAGCCGCGGUAAUACGUAGGUGGCAAGCGUUAUCCGGAAUUAUUGGGCGUAAAGCGCGCGCAGGUGGUUUCUUAAGUCUGAUGUGAAAGCCCACGGCUCAACCGUGGAGGGUCAUUGGAAACUGGGAGACUUGAGUGCAGAAGAGGAAAGUGGAAUUCCAUGUGUAGCGGUGAAAUGCGUAGAGAUAUGGAGGAACACCAGUGGCGAAGGCGACUUUCUGGUCUGUAACUGACACUGAGGCGCGAAAGCGUGGGGAG
RNAcentral lists this ribosomal RNA (672 nucleotides) under uncultured bacterium. RNAcentral's name for it is "bacterial SSU rRNA". It matches the Rfam family "Bacterial small subunit ribosomal RNA", at positions 111 to 768 of the family's 1533-position model. The record is from RNAcentral.